RNAcentral lists this unclassified non-coding RNA (433 nucleotides) under soil metagenome. RNAcentral describes it as "partial contains 5.8S ribosomal RNA, internal transcribed spacer 2, and large subunit ribosomal RNA". The stretch from base 1 to 120 matches the Rfam family "5.8S ribosomal RNA", at positions 35 to 154 of the family's 154-position model. The record is from RNAcentral.
GAUUAAGAACGCAGCGAAAUGCGAUACGUAAUGUGAAUUGCAGAAUUCAGUGAAUCAUCGAAUCUUUGAACGCAUAUUGCGCUCUCUGGUAUUCCGGAGAGCAUGCUUGUUUGAGUAUCAGUAAACACCUCAACUUCCAUAUCUUUUUUGAAAUGGGAGUUGGACUUGAGUGAUCCCAACGCUUUUCCUCACCGAAAAGUGGCGGGUUACUUGAAAUGCAGGUGCAGCUGGACUUUUCUCUGAGCUAUAAGCAUAUCUAUUUAGUCUGCCUAAAAAACAGAUUAUUACCUUUGCUGCAGCUAACAUAAAGGAGAUUAGUUCUUGUGCUGACUGAUGCAGGAUUCACAAAGACAGGCUUCGGCCGACUGUGUAAACUCGAUCUCAAAUCAAGUAAGACUACCCGCUGAACUUAAGCAUAUCAAUAAGCGGAGGA